Molecule: unclassified non-coding RNA, 142 nt
Filed under: uncultured fungus
Lineage: Eukaryota; Fungi
Description: sequence contains ITS1
Source: RNAcentral
UCGAGUUUACAACUCCCAAACCCAAUGUGAACAUUACCCAUCGUUGCUUCGGCGGCUCGCCCAUGGCAGCCGUCGAGGGGCACACAAACCAUUGUUUUUCUCGGUAUCGUCUGAGUGUGGGCAUUAGCCAAUAAAUGAAUCA